AAAGAGGACAGCCGCUCCGAGCCCUCCGUCUACGGCUGUUUGGCCUCAGAUGCGCCCAUGUCCACCGGCAAGAAGUCAGGGAGACGUCUGCGUCAAAGUCCCGAGAUGCUGGUGACUGGGAAGCUCACACGUGCCCGACGGCCUGUUUGGAGACUGACCAGUUGACUGGAAAUACACCAAAGGAAAAAAAAAAAACAAAAAAAACCGCCUUUAAAACCCCAAAUAAUCCCACGACACGAUUUUUUUCUCAACCCGUAAUUCAUUUACAACCAGCGGUUAGUGCAGUUGGACCACACCGUGCGCUCAGCACGGCCAGCUCGAGCCCCCGAAAGUUGCAGGAGGCCAGACAGAUUUUCCUGCGGGUCUCAGGUAAUAAAACGGCUUCUGAAAAACGUGAAUAAACUCGAGCAAAUGUGUUUCUGGAACGAAAAAAUCGGAGGCUUUGUUGCAUAGUUGCUCGGCGCACAAUCGAAAAAUAACAUUUAUUAGCACUGCAAUGAGACAGCCAGGUUGUUGAUUUGCCAAACAACUCACCACCAACCAAACGUGGAGUGCGAAGCUUUUCAGGUUUUGUUUUUUUUUGUUUUUUUUAAAAAUGGCCAAAGAACACAGGCUAUUUCUGAAAGCUAAAACCUGCAGAAAAAAAAGAGAUGGCUCUCGCGGGUGCAUUUACCUGCAAAGCACCUUUGCAAUGAAACUGUGCUGGGAAAAAAAAAAAAAAAAAGGAUAGGUAAAGACGUUGUCAAGUUUAGUCCCAGAUCAAAUCUAUGUUUAUGAAGAAUUUCAAAAAAUGGGCCUAGAGCAAAAGCAGAACUACACCCGGGCUACAUGUUGAUGAGCAUUAAAAUGUUGCUGUAAUGAUUCAAGUAUGGAAUAAAAACCGGGAAGCUGUCUGAUGAAACAAGUCCAACCUGUGUGAAUAAUAACUUCCAAAAGUCUGAUCGCCAUCGCAAAACAAUCGGCCCAGUUCGAUGAAACUGGCUCGUUACAUAUCUGUACACUCAAUCAUUAAUGCUACACAGAGGAAACCCACUUGCUUUUGUCUGUUAAUGUGGCUUAAAUAAUAAUUUAGACUCCCUCCUGCUGAUGCUGAUGCACCAUAUGCUUGUAGCAGCUGACCUCGUUUAAAUUAGGCAAUAAUUCCCAUGUUUUUCUUAAAAUAAUGUUUAAGAAAAUGUGGCCUGCUGGUCUGAAUUUAACAUGGUUCCCCGACACGAUUUUUGUUUAUAAAAUUAAAACCAUCCACAGCCAUCAGAUUGUUGUAUUUUGUGGGGAGGAGAGAGACAAUAAUAAAAUAACUCAAAACAU
Xiphias gladius (swordfish) is the source of this 1308-nucleotide long non-coding RNA. RefSeq lists it as uncharacterized. The transcript has 2 exons. NCBI's taxonomy places the organism in Eukaryota, Metazoa, Chordata, Actinopteri, Istiophoriformes, Xiphiidae. The record is from RefSeq and is a predicted model, not a curated record.